RNAcentral lists this ribosomal RNA (410 nucleotides) under uncultured bacterium. RNAcentral describes it as "bacterial SSU rRNA". It matches the Rfam family "Bacterial small subunit ribosomal RNA", at positions 96 to 524 of the family's 1533-position model. The record is from RNAcentral.
UGGCGGACGGGUGAGUAACGCGUACACAACCUGCCCUUAAGCGGGGGAUAGCCUCUGGAAACGGAGAUUAAUACCCCAUGUAUUCAACUCAACGCAUGUUGAGUUGAAAAAAGUUACGGCGCUUAGGGAUGGGUGUGCGUCCUAUUAGCUGGAUGGUGAGGUAACGGCUCACCAUGGCGAUGAUAGGUAGGGGGCGUGAGAGCGUGGUCCCCCACACGGGUACUGAGACACGGACCCGACUCCUACGGGAGGCAGCAGUAAGGAAUAUUGGACAAUGGGGGCAACCCUGAUCCAGCAAUGCCGCGUGAGUGAUGAAGGCCUUAGGGUUGUAAAGCUCUUUUACCCGGGAUGAUAAUGACAGUACCGGGAGAAUAAGCUCCGGCUAACUCCGUGCCAGCAGCCGCGGUAAU